Molecule: non-coding RNA, 28 nt
Filed under: Bombyx mori (domestic silkworm)
Lineage: Eukaryota; Metazoa; Arthropoda; Insecta; Lepidoptera; Bombycidae
Source: RNAcentral
UAUUACAGUGCUCGACGAUUGGAACUAU